RNAcentral lists this small RNA (69 nucleotides) under Arabidopsis thaliana (thale cress). RNAcentral describes it as "ATSL207200". Lineage: Eukaryota; Viridiplantae; Streptophyta; Magnoliopsida; Brassicales; Brassicaceae. The record is from RNAcentral.
UUGAAGAAAAAUCAAAUGAGUACUCAUCCUUCCAUAUGUCAAGAGAGGAUGCAGAAUAUGAUUCACGAA